Molecule: ribosomal RNA, 465 nt
Filed under: uncultured bacterium
Lineage: Bacteria
Description: bacterial SSU rRNA
Rfam family: Bacterial small subunit ribosomal RNA
Source: RNAcentral
GGAGAAAAGCAGGGGAUCGCAAGACCUUGCGCUUUUGGAGCGGCCGAUGCCUGAUUAGCUUGUUGGUGAGGUAAAAGCUCACCAAGGCUUCGAUCAGUAGCUGGUCUGAGAGGACGACCAGCCACACUGGGACUGAGACACGGCCCAGACUCCUACGGGAGGCAGCAGUGGGGAAUUUUGGACAAUGGGGGCAACCCUGAUCCAGCCAUGCCGCGUGAGUGAAGAAGGCCUUCGGGUUGUAGAGCUCUUUCAGCCGGAACGAAACGGUUACGGUUAAUACCCGUGACUACUGACGGUACCGGAAGAAGAAGCACCGGCUAACUACGUGCCAGCAGCCGCGGUAAUACGUAGGGUGCGAGCGUUAAUCGGAAUUACUGGGCGUAAAGCGUGCGCAGGUGGUUUUGUAAGUCAGAUGUGAAAUCCCCGGGCUUAACCUGGGAACUGCGUUUGAAACUACAAAGCUAG